AACGAACGCUGGCGGCAUGCCUAAUACAUGCAAGUCGAACGAGACCUUCGGGUCUAGUGGCGCACGGGUGCGUAACGCGUGGGAAUCUGCCCUUGGGUUCGGAAUAACAGCGGGAAACUGCUGCUAAUACCGGAUGAUGACGUAAGUCCAAAGAUUUAUCGCCCAGGGAUGAGCCCGCGUAGGAUUAGCUAGUUGGUGGGGUAAAGGCCUACCAAGGCGACGAUCCUUAGCUGGUCUGAGAGGAUGAUCAGCCACACUGGGACUGAGACACGGCCCAGACUCCUACGGGAGGCAGCAGUAGGGAAUAUUGGACAAUGGGCGAAGGCCUGAUCCAGCAAUGCCGCGUGAGUGAUGAAGGCCUUAGGGUUGUAAAGCUCUUUUACCCGAGAUGAUAAUGACAGUAUCGGGAGAAUAAGCUCCGACUAACUCCGUGCCAGCAGCCGCCGUAA
Molecule: ribosomal RNA, 449 nt
Filed under: uncultured bacterium
Lineage: Bacteria
Description: partial 16S ribosomal RNA
Rfam family: Bacterial small subunit ribosomal RNA
Source: RNAcentral